Long non-coding RNA from Culex pipiens pallens (northern house mosquito), 505 nucleotides. RefSeq lists it as uncharacterized. The record is from RefSeq and is a predicted model, not a curated record. The transcript is spliced from 2 exons. Lineage: Eukaryota; Metazoa; Arthropoda; Insecta; Diptera; Culicidae.
CUCCUCCUCCUCCUCCUCCUCCUCCUCCUCCUCCUCCUCCUCCUCCUCCUCCUCAUCCUCAUCCUGCUGUAGGGGCCACUUUCACUGCAUGACGAGUUGAAGAAAGUAGUCAACACUAGGCUAGCCACGCAUCUGAUGCAGGCAGCGACGCCAACAUCUUCACCAGAUCUGCAGCCACUUCGAAUUGAACCACGGCAAUGAGGAAAGCGACCCGGUCAACGGUUCCACGACGAGACGAGACGCAUCUACCGAACUCGAGCUCCGUCGGUAUCCUGGAGGAGAUCUCAGUCAAGCCCUUCCACACACACACAGCCCAUCCACACACACUUUGUUACACCCUACUAACAUUCUUCAAUUCAGCAAUUGUUAUUUCAAAAAUUAUAAUUCUAAAAUUCCAAACUUCUAAAAUUCUAAAUUUCUAACAUUCUAAAAUUCUAAAAAACAGAAAUUCUAAAAUUCUAAAAUUCAAAAAUUCGAAAAUUCUAAAACUCUAAAAUUCUAAAAU